UUUCCGUAGGUGAACCUGCGGAAGGAUCAUUCCCAAUAAGUGUUUUAUGGCUCUUUUUCAAUCCAUAUCCACCUUGUGUGCAAUGUUGUCUUGUAACGCGAAUGCUUGUCAUUCGCGCUACAGAAUGUAAACAUCAACUCUUAUUUUUAACAACUUUGUCUGAAAACCUGUAUGAAUACUUUAUUCAAAUACAACUUUCAACAACGGAUCUCUUGGCUCUC
Molecule: unclassified non-coding RNA, 221 nt
Filed under: plant metagenome
Description: partial contains small subunit ribosomal RNA, internal transcribed spacer 1, and 5.8S ribosomal RNA
Source: RNAcentral